Chrysemys picta bellii (western painted turtle) is the source of this 104-nucleotide small nuclear RNA. The record is from Ensembl. NCBI's taxonomy places the organism in Eukaryota, Metazoa, Chordata, Testudines, Emydidae.
AUGUAAUCUGCCGCACAUAUACUAAAAUUGGAACGAUACUGAGAAGAUUAGCAUGGCCCCUGCACAAGGAUGACACCCAUAUUCGUGAAGCAUUCCAUCUAGUA